GGAGCGAACGCUGGCGGCAGGCUUAACACAUGCAAGUCGAACGGGCAUAGCAAUAUGUCAGUGGCAGACGGGUGAGUAACGCGUGGGAACAUACCUCUUGGUUCGGAACAACACAGGGAAACUUGUGCUAAUACCGGAUAAGCCCUUACGGGGAAAGAUUUAUCGCCGAGAGAUUGGCCCGCGUCUGAUUAGCUAGUUGGUGUGGUAAAGGCGCACCGAAGGCGACGAUCAGUAGCUGGUCUGAGAGGAUGAUCAGCCACAUUGGGACUGAGACACGGCCCAAACUCCGUACGGGAGGCAGCGAGGUGGGGAAUAGUUGGACAAGUGGGCGACAAGGCCUGAUCCGAGCCAGUCGCCGCGUGAGUGAUGGAACGGCCGUUAGGGUUAGUAAAGUCUUAGUUUUGGAACGGUAAGACGUAACGGACGGUAACGUAAGAACGUAACGCCCCGACUUAACGUUCCGACGACCCG
This 471-nucleotide ribosomal RNA is filed under the name uncultured soil bacterium. RNAcentral describes it as "bacterial SSU rRNA". It matches the Rfam family "Bacterial small subunit ribosomal RNA", at positions 27 to 519 of the family's 1533-position model. The record is from RNAcentral.